This 420-nucleotide ribosomal RNA is filed under the name uncultured fungus. Its description in RNAcentral is "partial small subunit ribosomal RNA". It matches the Rfam family "Eukaryotic small subunit ribosomal RNA", at positions 30 to 432 of the family's 1831-position model. Lineage: Eukaryota; Fungi. The record is from RNAcentral.
GCUUGUCUCAAAGAUUAAGCCAUGCAUGUCUAAGUAUGAACCUUCAUACGGUGAAACUGCGAACGGCUCAUUAUCAACAGUCAUCAUUUACUUGGUCAUUGGACGGUUAGAAAGUCCUACAUGGAUACCUGUCGGUAACACCAGAGCUAAUACAUGCUUGAACUUCCUCGCAAGGGGAUGCAUUUAUUAGAUUCCACCAACACGGCGCGCGUAAAAAACACGUCGGUCGGGUGAUUCAUAGUAAGCUUCGAUGCGAACCGUUCUUUUCACAAGAAUGGUGAACCAAUCAAGUUUCUGCCCUAUCAGCUUUCGUCGGUUGGAUAUGCGCCAACCGAGGCUUCCACGGGUAACGGGGGAUUAGGGUUUGAUUCCGGAGAGGGGGCCUGAGAGAUGGCCACCACAUCUAAGGAAGGCAGCAGG